This 497-nucleotide ribosomal RNA is filed under the name uncultured bacterium. RNAcentral's name for it is "partial 16S ribosomal RNA". It matches the Rfam family "Bacterial small subunit ribosomal RNA", at positions 28 to 507 of the family's 1533-position model. The record is from RNAcentral.
GAUGAACGCUGGCGGCGUGCCUAAUACAUGCAAGUCGAGCGAACAGAUAAGGAGCUUGCUCCUUUGACGUUAGCGGCGGACGGGUGAGUAACACGUGGGUAACCUACCUAUAAGACUGGAAUAACUCCGGGAAACCGGGGCUAAUGCCGGAUAACAUUUAGAACCGCAUGGUUCUAAAGUGAAAGAUGGUUUUGCCAUCACUUAUAGAUGGACCCGCGCCGUAUUAGCUAGUUGGUAAGGUAACGGCUUACCAAGGCAACGAUACGUAGCCGACCUGAGAGGGUGAUCGGCCACACUGGAACUGAGACACGGUCCAGACUCCUACGGGAGGCAGCAGUAGGGAAUCUUCCGCAAUGGGCGAAAGCCUGACGGAGCAACGCCGCGUGAGUGAUGAAGGUCUUCGGAUCGUAAAACUCUGUUAUUAGGGAAGAACAAAUGUGUAAGUAACUGUGCACGUCUUGACGGUACCUAAUCAGAAAGCCACGGCUAACUACGUG